GGGGCUGUAUAUGGUUUCGACAGGAAUACCUAGCUUUAAGCUGCAAGUCGAAGGCACUCGUUACGUGCAAAAUAAAAAUAACUGGAAACAAAAUUAAAAAUGCAUUUGCUUCAUUAUUCAGAAGUAAUAGUGUAGCCUUAGCUGCUUAAUAGUCAGAAAUGCAAUUCUCUAUUAUCUUUUCUUGCGUAGAUUAUAGGGGAUUCGAUUUUAGCAAGAUAUAUCAUUAUUUAGCUUAGAAAUAGUGAUGAAAAAUUAUAAGCUUACUAAUUUAUAGGUUGUUGGUUACUUUUAUACAUUAGGAAUUUUAUUAACUAACUAAACUUGUAGAUGCUUACUGUGUAGUAUUUUUGGACAGGAGUUCGACUCUCCUCAGCUCCACCA
Molecule: transfer-messenger RNA, 381 nt
Filed under: Bacilli
Lineage: Bacteria; Bacillati; Bacillota
Also listed under: 1 other name
Description: CAG-433 sp017938725 Standard tmRNA
Rfam family: transfer-messenger RNA
About the family: Bacterial tmRNA, also known as 10Sa RNA or SsrA, is named for its dual tRNA and mRNA-like properties.
Source: RNAcentral